RNAcentral lists this ribosomal RNA (330 nucleotides) under uncultured bacterium. RNAcentral describes it as "bacterial SSU rRNA". It matches the Rfam family "Bacterial small subunit ribosomal RNA", at positions 568 to 898 of the family's 1533-position model. The record is from RNAcentral.
CGCGUAGGUGGUAGUGUAAGUCUGAGGUGGAAUCCCAGGGCUUAACCCUGGAACUGCCUUGGAAACUGCAUUACUUGAGUCAGUGAGGGGAGGGUAGAAUUCCUGGUGUAGCGGUGAAGUGCGUAGAUAUCAGGAGGAAGGCCUGUGGCGAAGGCGGCCCUCUGGUGCUGGACUGACACUGAGGCGCGAAAGCGUGGGGAGCAAACAGGAUUAGAUACCCUGGUAGUCCACGCCCUAAACGGUGGGCACUAGGUGUAGGGCUCGUAAGGGUUCUGUGCCGAAGGGAAACCAUUAAGUGCCCCGCCUGGGGAGUACGGCCGCAAGGUUGAA